UGGAUAUAGCUCAGUGGGUAGAGCAAUCGACUCAUAAUCGAUGGGACGGAGGUUCGAAUCCUCCUAUUCAACCA
Molecule: transfer RNA, 74 nt
Filed under: Candidatus Thiodiazotropha sp. (ex Monitilora ramsayi)
Lineage: Bacteria; Pseudomonadati; Pseudomonadota; Gammaproteobacteria; Chromatiales; Sedimenticolaceae
Description: tRNA-Met
Rfam family: tRNA
About the family: Transfer RNA (tRNA) molecules are approximately 80 nucleotides in length.
Source: RNAcentral